ACGAGUUUGACUCCUGGACUCACGGACGAACGCUGGCGGGCGUGCUUAACACAUGCAAGUCGAGCGGAAAGGCCCUUCGGGGUACUCGAGCGGCGAACGGGUGAGUAACACGUGAGCAACCUGCCCCAGGCUUUGGGAUAACCCCGGAAACCGGGGCUAAUACCGAAUAGGACCUGGCCUCGCAUGAGGCUGGGUGGAAAGUUUUUCGGCUUGGGAUGGGCUCGCGGCCUAUCAGCUUGUUGGUGGGGUGAUGGCCUACCAAGGCGACGACGGGUAGCCGGCCUGAGAGGGCGACCGGCCACACUGGGACUGAGACACGGCCCAGACUCCUACGGGAGGCAGCGGUGGGGAAUAUUGCACAAUGGGCGGAAGCCUGAUGCAGCGACGCCGCGUGAGGGAUGACGGCCUUCGGGUUGUAAACCUCUUUCAGCAGGGACGAAGCGUAAGUGACGGUACCUGCAGAAGAAGCGCCGGCCAACUACGUG
This 485-nucleotide ribosomal RNA is filed under the name uncultured Micromonospora sp. RNAcentral's name for it is "bacterial SSU rRNA". It matches the Rfam family "Bacterial small subunit ribosomal RNA", at positions 1 to 507 of the family's 1533-position model. Lineage: Bacteria; Bacillati; Actinomycetota; Actinomycetes; Micromonosporales; Micromonosporaceae. The record is from RNAcentral.